Molecule: ribosomal RNA, 569 nt
Filed under: uncultured Bacillota bacterium
Lineage: Bacteria; Bacillati; Bacillota
Description: bacterial SSU rRNA
Rfam family: Bacterial small subunit ribosomal RNA
Source: RNAcentral
CAAGGUUGAAACUCAAAGGAAUUGACGGGGGCCCGCACAAGCAGUGGAGUAUGUGGUUUAAUUCGAAGCAACGCGAAGAACCUUACCAGGGCUUGACAUCCCUCGAAGUGCAUAGAGAUAUGUACGUCCUUCGGGACGAGGAGACAGGUGGUGCAUGGUUGUCGUCAGCUCGUGUCGUGAGAUGUUGGGUUAAGUCCCGCAACGAGCGCAACCCUUACUUUUAGUUGCCAGCAGGUAAAGCUGGGCACUCUAGAGGGACUGCCGGUGACAAAUCGGAGGAAGGUGGGGACGACGUCAAAUCAUCAUGCCCCUUAUGUCCUGGGCUACACACGUACUACAAUGGCUGUUACAACAGGAAGCGAAGCCGUAAGGUGGAGCAAAUCCCCAAAAGCAGCCCCAGUUCAGAUUGUGGGCUGAAACCCGCCCACAUGAAGUCGGAAUUGCUAGUAAUGGCAGGUCAGCAUACUGCCGUGAAUACGUUCCCGGGCCUUGUACACACCGCCCGUCACACCAUGAGAGUCUGCAACACCCGAAGUCAGUAGACUAACCGUAAGGAGGUCGCUGCCGAA